UGGGGAAUAUUGCACAAUGGGCGAAAGCCUGAUGCAGCAACGCCGCGUGAGUGAUGAAGGUCUUCGGAUUGUAAAGCUCUGUCUUUUGGGACGAUAAUGACGGUACCAAAGGAGGAAGCCACGGCUAACUACGUGCCAGCAGCCGCGGUAAUACGUAGGUGGCGAGCGUUGUCCGGAUUUACUGGGCGUAAAGGGUGCGUAGGCGGAUGUUUAAGUGAGAUGUGAAAUACCCGGGCUUAA
This 240-nucleotide ribosomal RNA is filed under the name uncultured bacterium. Its description in RNAcentral is "partial 16S ribosomal RNA". It matches the Rfam family "Bacterial small subunit ribosomal RNA", at positions 355 to 612 of the family's 1533-position model. The record is from RNAcentral.